RNAcentral lists this ribosomal RNA (406 nucleotides) under uncultured bacterium. RNAcentral's name for it is "partial 16S ribosomal RNA". It matches the Rfam family "Bacterial small subunit ribosomal RNA", at positions 30 to 526 of the family's 1533-position model. The record is from RNAcentral.
AUUGAACGCUGGCGGCAGGCCUAACACAUGCAAGUCGAACGAGUGGCGGACGGGUGAGUAAUGUCUGGGAAACUGCCUGAUGGAGGGGGAUAACUACUGGAAACGGUAGCUAAUACCGCAUACCAUCAGAUGUGCCCCGAUGGGAUUAGCUAGUUGGUGGGGUAACGGCUCACCAAGGCGACGAUCCCUAGCUGGUCUGAGAGGAUGACCAGCCACACUGGAAUGGAGACACGCUCCAGCCUCCUACGGGAGGUAGCAGUGGGGAAUAUUGCACAAUGGGCGCAAGCUGGAUGCAGCCAUGCCGCUUGUAUGAAGAAGGCUUGCGGGUUGUAAAGUACGUUCAGCGGGGAGGCGUUACCCGCAGAAGAAGCACCGGCUAACUCCGUGCCAGCCGCCGCGGUAAUAC